UUUCAUUCUACUUCAGUUUUGUGGGACAAAUAAAGUUUGAUGAAGGCAUGUUAAGCGCACAGCCUGUCUCUCGUCAAUGUCUGCUUCAGGACAAUCCAUUCUGACAGAGCCAUCCGUUUACAGUUGCUAGCUAUUGAUCUGAUUUUCAACACAUCACACCAGGCAGUUUCCUGCAGCAUGCUAACAAAAACACUCAGGUACGAUCAAAAAGCCCCACACGACACGCGAGAGCUCAUCGCCACACAGCGGAAAGCCGCGUCUUCCCACACGCUUGUGCGUACGCUCUAUGGAGACGGCUAGUUUCUGAGAGCGUUAAGGGGCUUUUGCGUCUGAAGAAAUCAGCCAGCUUGCAUUAAGAUCAGAUGCAUUGUGAGAACAGAAGAAAACAUCUGGAGGAGACAGAUGGAGGAAAGGAGAGCGAAAAGAGGCAGAUAAAUACAACCAGCUCUGUUUGGUGGACCAAUUCAGACCAUGCUAAGGAUUUUGCUGUCUUCCAUUUAAAAUGCACACAUGGGACAGGACAGAGAAUAUAUUUCACAAAUUCAUCUUUCAAAUGAGAAACAAAAGACAAGAGUUUGUGCAGGCGAAGGGAUAAGAAGCUGUUUACAUUUGAAGCAGAGAUCUGUCUGGCGGAUUUUCGCAACGAACGCCAAUCUCGCACAACAAAACUCAUCCAUUUCAGAAUGCAAAAGUAGCCCAGUCCUGUUUUAGAGGCGAAGCCACUGAGUUUAUAUGCUGAUGAUAGCAGCUCCGCUUCCUCCUAUAGAUCUACGAGUGCAAAUAAAAAAGAAAAGAGAAGGGGAAAGAGCUGGAUAAGACAUUUCAGAAAGGGGCCACAAAAAAGGAAGACGGUGAAAAGGAAAGCCAAAUUAAUUUUAUUUCCCUCAGAAAAGUGUGGUAUACCAAUGGGGUCCCUGUAACUUGUGAAAAAUUAAGAGAGACGGAUUCAAACUGUCCAAUUUCCACAUCAAACAAACGUUGGCUCUCUGCUCCUGCAGAAAGUGCUUCAUACAGCACACAUCCCUCCCCCCAUUCCCCCCAUCUCCAACCGCCUCUCCUCUCCAACCUGAACCACCAACACAUUUUCUGAACACUCACAGUAUUCUCAGUUUCCUUAUUAAUCCCACUCUCUAAUUCCCCUAAGCACUGUACUGGUUACACUAGCCACUGUCUCUCCCCUGUCUAAUUAUACCCUUGUGAGUUUAUUAAUCAACCUGUGAAUUAUUUAAGAAGGAGAGAUCUUCCGUCUGUAACUGACUUUGACAGAGGGGGGAAAAAUGAGGGAGGGCCAAGGUAGAGGAUGGAGAGAGAGCUAAUGCGCAGUAUGGAGGGGGUAGGAGAAAAGAGAAAGAAAUACAGAAUGAGGGUCUACCGUCCUGGCGCGUCCCCCGAGGACUGAAGCUGGUGCAGCUCUCUGGCACUGAAACGAGGCAGAUCCUCGUCAAAAUACACUUUAUGUUUGUUUUUUCCCCCUCAAUCCGCAUAAGUUUUCAUCACAAACAUGAAUUCAUGAAUAUAUGUAGCUGCAAAGAAUAAAGAGGGUAGGGAACAGGAGGGAACAUAGAGAGGGAGAGAAAUGAAGGCAAACCAAGUGAAAUUUCUAUUACAGAGAAUUUACACUUUCCUGUGUUUGACAUCUAGGCUCUCUUGUCCCCGUUAUCCAGGCAUUACGGUUAUGGUUAGAGCAUUUUUUAAUCAUGUUGCUCUGUGUAUACUCAUAAGCUAAGGGCUUAUUUUAUUUUAUUUUAGAGGGCACGUUUAAUGACUGCCGUUGCCGCUACCAUCCACGUUGAGCCAACUAGGGCCGGAAGAAGUUGAUUUUAAAGUAAGCUCAUCAUUAUUUUCCGACUGCAAGGUGUGCUCCAUUGGCCCCUGCAAAGAGCCUGCCAAUCCCAGAAUACUAAUGAGUGAGGCAUUAGAUAAAUAAAUAAGACUGAGUGUGUCCCGGCCCACAUCAUUCUGCUAUACGAGAUGUUAAAGAGUCUGUUUUUUGUCUGUCAAAGGUUGUGUGGGUACGUUUGUUGCCAUUGUCUGCUUUAUGUGUGUCAGGUUAAAGUAAGCUCCUCUCAUUAGGACCUGAGCAGCGCUGCUGUCGGUGGCUGAAGCUCACCGCUCUCUGCGGGAUGUUUAUUAAAUUAAUAAAAAGUAGCUUGCGGCAAACAGAACACAGGAAAGCCCCGGGUACAGCUGUGAUUGGCACCCUCGGCCGGCCCGCGCUCUCUCAGGAGGCCAACGGCAUUUGCUUUAACUAACCGGCCGUGACUGAGGGCACAAGCUGACAUGUCGCUCUCUCUCUCGUGCUUUCAUUCUCAUACCUCUUUCAUUGUGAAAGAAUGCCUCAGAAUGCACUGGGAAGGCGCAGUGACAUUCGAGGGAAAGAAAGAGAACAGAGGGUGGCCCAUGUUGGGUGAGAGUGCAUUAAAAACAGCAAAAACAACCAAAAACAAACACAGGAACUAGGUUUCUCUAAUGUCAACAUUAGACAUUCUUAGUUCCACCUGAAGUCAGUGUAGAAUGAAACUCUAUAACCUGCAUUAUGUCUUGGCAGAA
Molecule: long non-coding RNA, 2550 nt
Organism: Cyprinus carpio (common carp)
Lineage: Eukaryota; Metazoa; Chordata; Actinopteri; Cypriniformes; Cyprinidae
Exons: 3
Source: RefSeq, a predicted model, not a curated record